GCGCCUGUAGCUCAGCAGGAUAGAGCGGCGGAUUCCUAAUCCGCAGGUCGGGGGUUCGAGUCCCUCCAGGCGCACCA
RNAcentral lists this transfer RNA (77 nucleotides) under Holophagales bacterium. RNAcentral's name for it is "tRNA-Arg". It matches the Rfam family "tRNA". Rfam says of the family: Transfer RNA (tRNA) molecules are approximately 80 nucleotides in length. Their secondary structure includes four short double-helical elements and three loops (D, anti-codon, and T loops). The record is from RNAcentral. Lineage: Bacteria; Pseudomonadati; Acidobacteriota; Holophagae; Holophagales.